Cebus imitator (Panamanian white-faced capuchin) is the source of this 283-nucleotide long non-coding RNA. RefSeq lists it as uncharacterized. The transcript is spliced from 3 exons. The record is from RefSeq and is a predicted model, not a curated record. NCBI's taxonomy places the organism in Eukaryota, Metazoa, Chordata, Mammalia, Primates, Cebidae.
ACCUGACUUUAUUCAUUCUGUUAAUGACCAACCAACUACUUCAGAGGAAACAAAUGGCCAUUGAUGUCCUUCACCCCGGGAAGGCAACAGUGCCUAAGACAGAAAUUUGGGAAAAACCAGCCAAAAUGUACAAGGCCACACUGGAUGCCAUCUUUGUAUUUGGAUUCAGAACUCAUUUUGGUGUUGGCAAGACAACUGGCUUUGGCAUGAUUUAUGAUUCCCUGGAUUAUGCAAAGAAAAAGGAACCCAAACAUAGACUUGCAAGACAUGGCCUGUAUGAGAA